AUCUAUUGGAGCUUAAACUUCAGCAGCAGUCAUUCCAAUGAAUAUUCAGGGUUAAUUUCCUUUAGGAUUGACUGGUUUUAUCUUCUUGAAGUCCAAGGGACUCUAAAGAGUCUUCUCUAAUACCACAGUUCAAAAGCAUCAAUUCUUCAGCACUCUGCUUUAUUUAUGGUCCAAUUCUCACAUCUGUAUUUGACUACUGGUAAAACCAUAUAUUUGACUAUAUGGACCUUUGUCGGUAAAGUAAUGUCUCUGCUUUUUAAUAUGCUGUCUAGUAACUUUUGGUAAUUAUGUGCUUCCUAUUCAGUGUGUUAUUUCUGCAGAGUCAUUUUGGUAAGUUUCAUUUUUCUAGGAGUGGAUCUGUUUCCUGUGAGUUUUGAGCUUGAUUGGCAUAAAUGUAUUCACAAUACCUUAUAUAUUUAAACUGUAGCAUCUCUGUGUUCUUCGGGCUUUUUAAUUUUCUUUGAGCCUUCUCAUUUUAUUAACAACCUUGCAUAACUUUUUUCCUGUUUUCAAAGAAUCAGCUUUGUGCUUGAUUGAUGCUUUCUGUUUUGUUUUUCUUUCCCUAGCUCAUCGUUUCAUUCUUUCCUUCAACUUUUCCUUUACUUUCAGAAUUUUUUCUCUAAAUUCUUAAAUUGGAAACAGAUUAAUAACACCAUUAUUUUUCUAAUAUAAGGAUAUAAAGCCAACAUAUUUUUCUGAGAUCCACUUUAGCUGCAACCUGCAAGUUUUGAUACUUACCACCAAUCACUAGCCAUAGUAUUAUGUAUUUUCUAAUUCCUAAUUUAAUUAACUAUAUCUUUUACCUAUGAGUUAUUCAGAAGUAUAAUGUUCUCUAAAUUUUAAAUGCUAAUGAAUUUUUUCUAUUAGAAUGAAUUAUGUCAAACUGCUAACAUUCAGUCUUUUUAUAAGCUAUAAAAUGGCACUUUCAUAUAUUCCAACAUAAUAGUUUUCUUUUAUUACUAUAUAACUUAAUUUCAUUUUGGUCAGACAAUGUUAGAUUGUGGAUUUUAAACCAAAGGUAACCACAUACACACAAAAGUCCUUAUUUCUACCAUUUUGUGUUUUAUUUGGGGGUUUUAAAAUGUUAUAAAUAUGUGUGUAAUCAGUAAUUUUCAAAUAAAAUCCUCCCUGA
This 1132-nucleotide long non-coding RNA is filed under the name Bos indicus x Bos taurus (hybrid cattle). Its description in RNAcentral is "lncRNA (ENSBIXG00005005627.1)". Lineage: Eukaryota; Metazoa; Chordata; Mammalia; Artiodactyla; Bovidae. The record is from RNAcentral.